This is a non-coding RNA of Nematostella vectensis (starlet sea anemone), 64 nucleotides long. NCBI's taxonomy places the organism in Eukaryota, Metazoa, Cnidaria, Anthozoa, Actiniaria, Edwardsiidae. The record is from Rfam.
UCAUCGAUCUUUGACGCAAAUGGCGCUCUUGGGUUUUCCCAGGAGCAUGUCUGUCUGAGUGUCN